GGGGUUGUGGCUCAGUGGUAGAGCACUCGCUUAGCAUGUGUGAAGCACUCGGUUCAAUCCUCAGCACCA
Molecule: non-coding RNA, 69 nt
Organism: Ictidomys tridecemlineatus (thirteen-lined ground squirrel)
Lineage: Eukaryota; Metazoa; Chordata; Mammalia; Rodentia; Sciuridae
Source: Rfam